Molecule: long non-coding RNA, 436 nt
Filed under: Phoenix dactylifera (date palm)
Lineage: Eukaryota; Viridiplantae; Streptophyta; Magnoliopsida; Arecales; Arecaceae
Description: long non-coding RNA (PDAC_LNC013224)
Source: RNAcentral
AAGGGUAUAGAGGUUGGUUGGUGAGCCGAGUGUAAAACCAACGUGUAAGGGUUCGAUUGUGAUCCCGGAAAAACAAUCGGGGUUGGUUCUAGUCGGUGAGCCUGGAAAAACCGACCGAGUUCGUUGUGAGCUCGUAAAACAACAAGUUUGGUUGUGAGCUUGGAAAACAACCGGCUGUAAUCCAAGGGGUUAUAGUAAAUUCCCAAGUGAGACUUGGGGAGUGGACGUAGGAGCAAGGGUUAGCUCCGAACCACUAUAAAACUUGGUGUUUGUGAUUGAUUGUCUCUCUUUCUCUUACUCUCAUAUCACUCACAGCACAUAGCAAUUAAUCGAACAACUUGCAAUAGCUUUAAUUAGUCAUCCACAUCGUUUUAAAUUGUAAGAUUAUUUUAAAACCCAAUUCACCCCCCCUCUUGGGUUGUCUAUCUGGGCAACA